This 2029-nucleotide unclassified non-coding RNA is filed under the name Hevea brasiliensis (rubber tree). The record is from RNAcentral. Lineage: Eukaryota; Viridiplantae; Streptophyta; Magnoliopsida; Malpighiales; Euphorbiaceae.
GUUGGGAGUUAAAGCAGUUAUUGCGAAAAGCUUCGAGAGAAUUCAUCGUAGUAACUUGGUAGGAAUGGGUAUCAUUCCACUUUGUUUCAAGUCUGGUGAGGAUGCUGAUUCACUCGGAUUGACUGGACAUGAGCGUUACUCGAUUGACCUCCCGAACAACAUCAGCGAGAUAAGGCCUGGCCAAGACGUGACUGUCACCACUGAUUCUGGAAAAUCUUUCACCUGCACUGUUCGCUUUGACACUGAGGUGGAGCUGGCCUAUUUCAACCAUGGAGGUAUCCUUCCAUACGUUAUUCGGAAUCUCAUUAAGCAAUGAGGAACAUGUGGAGUCUCUCAUUUAGCAGCAGCGGCGGCGGCGGGGGGCUUGGGCGUGCGUGAACUCGUCCUUUUUUUAAUUCCCCAUUUUUGUUAAUAAGGAAAUAGAAAAUCCCUGAGCAGCAAUUUCAUUUCAAACCUCUUUCCAAUUUCUCUCAGAAAUCGAAAAAUCUCCAACUUCCACCCUAUCUUUCUUUCUCUGUCAAAAUCUUUUCACUUAAAACUGUUUCCUUCUUGAAUAAUGUGUGGAGGUGCUAUAAUCUCCGGCUUCAUUCCGCCGACUCGCUCCCGGCGAGUCACCGGCGAACACCUUUGGCCCAAUCUCAAGAAACCCGCCUUCGGAAAUCAAUUCUCGAAGCCGGUCAAGUCUGAUAUCAUUGACAUUGAUGAUGAUUUCGAGACUGAUUUCCAGCAUUUCAAGGACGAUUCCGAUUUGGAUUUUGAUGUGGAGGAGCUCGUCGACAUCAAACCCCUUUCCUUCUCUGCUGGUGGAAACCCUCCCCUUCCUUCUGCUCGUGUUUCAAAAUCUGUAGAAUUCUCUGGACAAGCUGAAAAAUCUGCAAAAAGAAAGCGAAAGAAUCAGUACAGGGGAAUCCGACAGCGACCAUGGGGUAAAUGGGCUGCAGAAAUUCGCGACCCACGAAAAGGAGUUCGUGUGUGGCUGGGCACUUUUAAUACUGCUGAGGAAGCUGCUCGAGCAUAUGAUGCUGAAGCACGACGAAUUCGUGGAAAGAAAGCUAAGGUCAAUUUUCCCGACGAAGCACCGCGAACUAGUGGAAAACGUUCAGCAAAGACAAACCUUCAGGAACCACUUCCUAAAACUAGCUUGGCAAAGACCCAAACAGAUCUAAUCCAGAACAAUAAGUUUGUGAAUAGCUCUGAUGAAGAAUACUUCAGUACCGUGGGUUUCCUGGAGGAAAAACCGCUUACAAAUCAACUAGUGAACAUGAAUUCAUUCUCUGCCAAUGUAGAUGGUGCAAUAAAAACCAGUCCACCUUCUUCUGAUGUUGCACCUAUGUACUUUAAUUCAGAUCAAGGUAGCAAUUCCUUUGAUUACUCUGACUUUGGAUGGGGAGAGCAGGGUGCAAAGACUCCUGAAAUCUCGUCUUUUCUUUCAGCUGCCAUGGAAAAUGAAGAUUCUUACUUUGUGGAGGAUGCUUCCCCAAGGAAGAAAGUCAAGUAUAGCCCAGAGAAUACGGUGGUUUCUCAAGGCUCUGAGAAAACUUUAUCUGAGGAGUUAUCUUCUUUUGAGCCUGAGAUGAAAUACUUCCAGAUGCCAUAUCUUGAUGGCAGCUGGGAUGCAUCAAUGGAUGCCUUCCUUGCCGGAGAGACAGGGAACCAGGAUGGCGGGAACUCAGUCGACCUUUGGACCUUUGACGAUCUUGCAGGAAUGGUCGGCAGUGUCUUCUAAGCAAAUCUUGUCCAGCUUGCUAGGUUAUGUAAAUAAAAAGCUACAUAUUAGAACAUUUGUGAUCUGUUAUGGGAAUGGACGUGAGAGAGAUCUGCCUGCAUUAGCAAUGGCCUGACAAACAUAGCUAUUGGUGUGUAUGUUGAAUAUGAGGACACUUAGUACAACUUGGUAGGCUUCGUUUCAUGUUUCGAGACCAUAAUAUGGGAAACUCAAAACUAAUAUAAUGCUUGUACUGAUAUAACUACGUGUGGUUGGUUUGCUAUGGAUGUUGAAAACUUGAUAAAAAUCUCAAUUCUGCCUUUU